Misgurnus anguillicaudatus (oriental weatherfish) is the source of this 585-nucleotide long non-coding RNA. RefSeq lists it as uncharacterized. The record is from RefSeq and is a predicted model, not a curated record. NCBI's taxonomy places the organism in Eukaryota, Metazoa, Chordata, Actinopteri, Cypriniformes, Cobitidae.
GCAAGUAGUCUAAACAAACGGUAAUAAGAGUAUAUUUAAGAACAUUAAUGAGAAAACACGGAUAUUUUACACAUCAGCAGAAGAAUAACAAUAGUUCAAGAUGAGUAAUCAGGAGGCUCACGGUCCGGAGCGUCAACACCAUCCUCCUCGGCCGGACAAUCGAGGCAGCCAGAGGACCAAAGAGUGUCAUUUCUCCAGAAUUGAGCCUCUAUGGUGUGAUGUUUGGUCAGCCGUCUCUUGUACUAUGAAGAACUGCAAUGGAAGAAGAGACAGUGCUUGAUUCGGCAGGUGAACUGCACCUAUUUUAUGGUGGAGCAACUUUUUCAAGAGGAAAUUGUUGACAUUGGCCGUUUCUCAAUACCAAGUACGCAAAGUUCGGACUUGCGUCCUUCGUAGUUCGGACUUGCAAGUUCAGACUCGAAAGAACGAACUCCCAAGGACGGGAGUCCGGUUAUAUUGCAAAUGGAACAGAAGAGUACUUGAUUGCGUCACUCAGCACAUCAUGGCAACACGCUUACUUCCAUUAACUUAAUAUAUAUCCGUUUUUAUUUUAAAUGUUGAAAUUAUAGUAGUUUAAACACUUAC